AGAGUUUGAUCCUGGCUCAGGAUGAACGCUGGCGGCGUGCCUAAUACAUGCAAGUCGAGCGAACGGACGAGAAGCUUGCUUCUCUGAUGUUAGCGGCGGACGGGUGAGUAACACGUGGAUAACCUACCUAUAAGACUGGGAUAACUUCGGGAAACCGGAGCUAAUACCGGAUAAUAUUUUGAACCGCAUGGUUCAAAAGUGAAAGACGGUCUUGCUGUCACUUAUAGAUGGAUCCGCGCUGCAUUAGCUAGUUGGUAAGGUAACGGCUUACCAAGGCAACGAUGCAUAGCCGACCUGAGAGGGUGAUCGGCCACACUGGAACUGAGACACGGUCCAGACUCCUACGGGAGGCAGCAGUAGGGAAUCUUCCGCAAUGGGCGAAAGCCUGACGGAGCAACGCCGCGUGAGUGAUGAAGGUCUUCGGAUCGUAAAACUCUGUUAUUAGGGAAGAACAUAUGUGUAAGUAACUGUGCACAUCUUGACGGUACCUAAUCAGAAAGCCACGGCUAACUACGUGCCAGCAGCCGCGGUAAUACGUAGGUGGCAAGCGUUAUCCGGAAUUAUUGGGCGUAAAGCGCGCGUAGGCGGUUUUUUAAGUCUGAUGUGAAAGCCCACGGCUCAACCGUGGAGGGUCAUUGGAAACUGGAAAACUUGAGUGCAGAAGAGGAAAGUGGAAUUCCAUGUGUAGCGGUGAAAUGCGCAGAGAUAUGGAGGAACACCAGUGGCGAAGGCGACUUUCUGGUCUGUAACUGACGCUGAUGUGCGAAAGCGUGGGGAUCAAACAGGAUUAGAUACCCUGGUAGUCCACGCCGUAAACGAUGAGUGCUAAGUGUUAGGGGGUUUCCGCCCCUUAGUGCUGCAGCUAACGCAUUAAGCACUCCGCCUGGGGAGUACGACCGCAAGGUUGAAACUCAAAGGAAUUGACGGGGACCCGCACAAGCGGUGGAGCAUGUGGUUUAAUUCGAAGCAACGCGAAGAACCUUACCAAAUCUUGACAUCCUUUGACAACUCUAGAGAUAGAGCCUUCCCCUUCG
Molecule: ribosomal RNA, 1034 nt
Filed under: Staphylococcus aureus
Lineage: Bacteria; Bacillati; Bacillota; Bacilli; Caryophanales; Staphylococcaceae
Description: bacterial SSU rRNA
Rfam family: Bacterial small subunit ribosomal RNA
Source: RNAcentral